This 205-nucleotide ribosomal RNA is filed under the name Escherichia coli. RNAcentral's name for it is "partial 16S ribosomal RNA". It matches the Rfam family "Bacterial small subunit ribosomal RNA", at positions 1 to 213 of the family's 1533-position model. The record is from RNAcentral. RNAcentral also lists the same sequence under 2 other names. Lineage: Bacteria; Pseudomonadati; Pseudomonadota; Gammaproteobacteria; Enterobacterales; Enterobacteriaceae.
AAAUUGAAGAGUUUGAUCAUGGCUCAGAUUGAACGCUGGCGGCAGGCCUAACACAUGCAAGUCGAACGGUAACAGGAAGCAGCUUGCUGCUUUGCUGACGAGUGGCGGACGGGUGAGUAAUGUCUGGGAAACUGCCCGAUGGAGGGGGAUAACUACUGGAAACGGUAGCUAAUACCGCAUAACGUCGCAAGACCAAAGAGGGGGA